GGGUUGUGAGGUUAAGCGACUAAGCGUACACGGUGGAUGCCCUGGCAGUCAGAGGCGAUGAAGGGCGUGCUAAUCUGCGAUAAGCGCCGGUAAGGUGAUAUGAACCGUUAUAACCGGCGAUACCCGAAUGGGGAAACCCAGUGUGACUCGUCACACUAUCAUUAACUGAAUCCAUAGGUUAAUGAGGCGAACCGGGGGAACUGAAACAUCUAAGUACCCCGAGGAAAAGAAAUCAACCGAGAUUCCCCCAGUAGCGGCGAGCGAACGGGGAGGAGCCCAGAGCCUGAAUCAGCAUGUGUGUUAGUGGAAGCGUCUGGAAAGGCGCGCGAUACAGGGUGACAGCCCCGUACACAAAAGCGCAUGUGCUGUGAGCUCGAUGAGUAGGGCGGGAC
RNAcentral lists this ribosomal RNA (392 nucleotides) under Salmonella enterica subsp. enterica serovar Dublin str. SA20093032. RNAcentral's name for it is "bacterial LSU rRNA". It matches the Rfam family "Bacterial large subunit ribosomal RNA", at positions 1 to 423 of the family's 2925-position model. Lineage: Bacteria; Pseudomonadati; Pseudomonadota; Gammaproteobacteria; Enterobacterales; Enterobacteriaceae. The record is from RNAcentral.